This 119-nucleotide small RNA is filed under the name Salmonella enterica. RNAcentral describes it as "partial RtT sRNA". It matches the Rfam family "RtT RNA". From Rfam's summary of the family: This family represents a bacterial cis-regulatory element known as RtT RNA. The exact function of RtT is unknown although it is thought that it may be involved in changing the cellular response in relation to amino acid starvation. The record is from RNAcentral. RNAcentral also lists the same sequence under 2 other names. Lineage: Bacteria; Pseudomonadati; Pseudomonadota; Gammaproteobacteria; Enterobacterales; Enterobacteriaceae.
AUAUCUCUCUGUACGGGAAGGAUGAGAAGCUUCUACCAGGGUUCGAUUCGAGCGCAGCGAGAAAGCGUUGCCGCAGGCAACGACCCGAAGGGCGAAGCGCGCAGCGCUGAGUCAUCCUU